Long non-coding RNA from Columba livia (rock pigeon), 1746 nucleotides. RefSeq lists it as uncharacterized. The record is from RefSeq and is a predicted model, not a curated record. NCBI's taxonomy places the organism in Eukaryota, Metazoa, Chordata, Aves, Columbiformes, Columbidae. The transcript has 3 exons.
UCUGGAGAUCAUUGCAGCAGCUGCUCAUGUUCCCACAAUGAUUUACCAUUAAAAGGUUUGCAAUCAGUUUGUGUGGUUUUUUUGUUGGUUUUUGGUUUUUUUGGUUGAUUGGUUUUGUUUCUUUGUUUGCUUUUGUGGUUGUAAGAGUUGGUCUGAAGAACAGUAUUUGCCUCAACAUUGCCAUCAAGGACUCAAGAGAAAGAACUGUACAGAGACUUGGGGAGGAAAAGAACUGCGUGCCACCGGGACUCUCCAACCGGGGACUAUGGGUAACAAUAGCUGCUCUCCAGAAGAUGAAUUUCACCUGCUACCUCAGCCAAACUUGCCCCACCUCCUCCCUGUUACUAAGGCCAACAAAGAGGAGCAUGUGUGGAGGCUUGCAGAGGGUUUUGAGGUCACCCAGCAGACAAGUAAGAGACCCCUGAAUGUGAAGCGGUGCAGGCAAGUUCUGGCUCCUGGAAACACCGAAAUGCAAUCUGUGCGGGACUCCAUCAGCAACACUUCCACAUAGUACUUUCUCUCUCCCUUUGCCUUCUUUUACCUCCUCCUGCCCCAAGGCUAAAAAAACCCGAAUUUUUUACUGAGAUCAGUCCCUUAUAAGAAGAUUGCAUAUAGAUUAAGAAACAGGAUUUAUGGAGGACUCAAAUUUGUAGAAGAUUGAGGACUCAUUUAAGGGCAUUUGGAAACCUUUUAUGGAUUAUAUAUACAAACCAGAUGUUGCAUCUUAAAAAAACUUGUACUUCAUUGUUAUUUCCUACUUGACUAUGUGGUGGGAGAAAGACUACAUUUCACGGUAUUGUGAAUGAAGACAAUUUUCACACAAUAGAAUUCUUUUGCUUCCUUUCCUUUUCUCUGUUGGGGUGUGUGUUCUCAAUUACAGCUAUAGCACCUCUUAUGACAAAUAAAUUUAUUUUUUUUUUCACAAAGAAAACCAUUAUUCAAAAGCCCCGAAGAACAAUAAAGAAGAGCAGGAGCAGGAACACAAUGCCUUGGUUCUAAAAAAACAACCUCUUAUUUAAGUAGAAACCACAGAAGUAUUGAUAGAAACCAUGCUAACUCUCCUUUGGGAAUAAUUCAUCAUUUGGCUGAUAUGAAACAGGACUGAAGCUUGUGCCUUCUCUUUAUUGAAGUAAUUAGGGACCUUGCUAGGUCUUCACUUAAGUCAGAUGAAAAAUGACCUCUUUGUCAGAAUCACUUCUGUGAGCCUUAAUCUUUAUGAGGAUGCUCUCGACAUGGCUGCUUUACGUGGAUUCUAGGGUGUGUUUUCUCCAGUGACUCCUCUAUCCAUAACAAUUCUCUUGUGAUCUGCUUUGCGAACUUUUCUCUGAGAUCACACCCAGGGUCUGUGGGGACAUGGGUGGGAGAUCCCUUUGGGUUCCCACAUUAAGCUCAGACCCAUCAUGGGAAGAAGUUUUAAUUGCAAUGACCAUUUCUCCUUCAAAGGCCUUGCCACCCCUCCACUUUCCUUAAGGCAACUUGUAUAUCCCAGGGAGUUGACAGAAACCCUCAGACCCUUUGGAAGAGGCCAAAGACUGUGUCUUGGGAUGGUAGAAUUAAAGCAAACUUAAUUUGCUGCUCAGAUACAGUGCUUUGAAGAGAAAUUGUUCUUCAAAUUCUUGUUUUCUGUCUUCAUACUUGUAUUUCCUGCCACUAGGUUUGCUCCAGGAGUCUCAUUUCUGCUUUUUAACCUACCUGUGAUUUUUAUUUGGCAGCUUGCAUUUUUUGGAGUGCUGCCAUUUAUUGCUU